Xenopus laevis (African clawed frog) is the source of this 314-nucleotide long non-coding RNA. RefSeq lists it as uncharacterized. The record is from RefSeq and is a predicted model, not a curated record. The transcript is spliced from 3 exons. NCBI's taxonomy places the organism in Eukaryota, Metazoa, Chordata, Amphibia, Anura, Pipidae.
GGAAAGCCCUAUCUAUUGCAGUCUGCAGCCUUGUACUUUUCAGCAGGCACCGCACCAGGCAGCAUCAGCUUGACAGUGGCACUUCCUGUCCUCCUAAUUGGCACUGGCACUAACCAACCAAGGACUGGCUGACUUCACUGAAUCUGAAGCCUCCAAUUGAACCCCUUGUUGCUGCAUCACAGAGAACGGAAAGAGUAUCUGUAUUCUGAGAGAUUUGCCUGAGCUGGUAUUGGAAAACAUUAAAGUGAAGAGGUCAGUGGUGGAGGUAAACUUUUGUUCCCCAGAGAAUCUGUCCUUUCCUCUGGCAAAGACAC